CCUACGGGCGGCAGCAGUGAGGAAUAUUGGUCAAUGGACGAGAGUCUGAACCAGCCAAGUCGCGUGAAGGAUGACUGCCCUAUGGGUUGUAAACUUCUUUUAUAAAGGAAUAAAACGAGGCACGUGUGCCUUUUUGCAUGUACUUUAUGAAUAAGCAUCGGCUAACUCCGUGCCAGCAGCCGCGGUAAUACGGAGGAUCCGAGCGUUAUCCGGAUUUAGUGGGUUUAAAGGGAGCGUAGAUGGGUUGUUAAGUUAGUUGUGAAAGUUUGCGGCUCAACCGUAAAAUUGCAAUUUAUACUGGCAGUCUUGAGUACAGUUGAGGUAGGCGGAAUUCGUGGUGUAGCGGUGAAAUGCUUAGAUAUUACGAAGAACCCCGAUUGCGAAGGCAGCUUACUAAACUGUGACUGACAUUGAUGCUCGAAAGUGUGGGUAUCAAACAGGAUUAGAUACCCCUGUAGUC
Molecule: ribosomal RNA, 460 nt
Filed under: uncultured bacterium
Lineage: Bacteria
Description: partial 16S ribosomal RNA
Rfam family: Bacterial small subunit ribosomal RNA
Source: RNAcentral